RNAcentral lists this ribosomal RNA (534 nucleotides) under Escherichia coli. RNAcentral's name for it is "partial 23S ribosomal RNA". It matches the Rfam family "Bacterial large subunit ribosomal RNA", at positions 1210 to 1744 of the family's 2925-position model. The record is from RNAcentral. Lineage: Bacteria; Pseudomonadati; Pseudomonadota; Gammaproteobacteria; Enterobacterales; Enterobacteriaceae.
GACGCUUAUGCGUUGUUGGGUAGGGGAGCGUUCUGUAAGCCUGCGAAGGUGUGCUGUGAGGCAUGCUGGAGGUAUCAGAAGUGCGAAUGCUGACAUAAGUAACGAUAAAGCGGGUGAAAAGCCCGCUCGCCGGAAGACCAAGGGUUCCUGUCCAACGUUAAUCGGGGCAGGGUGAGUCGACCCCUAAGGCGAGGCCGAAAGGCGUAGUCGAUGGGAAACAGGUUAAUAUUCCUGUACUUGGUGUUACUGCGAAGGGGGGACGGAGAAGGCUAUGUUGGCCGGGCGACGGUUGUCCCGGUUUAAGCGUGUAGGCUGGUUUUCCAGGCAAAUCCGGAAAAUCAAGGCUGAGGCGUGAUGACGAGGCACUACGGUGCUGAAGCAACAAAUGCCCUGCUUCCAGGAAAAGCCUCUAAGCAUCAGGUAACAUCAAAUCGUACCCCAAACCGACACAGGUGGUCAGGUAGAGAAUACCAAGGCGCUUGAGAGAACUCGGGUGAAGGAACUAGGCAAAAUGGUGCCGUAACUUCGGGAGAA